Molecule: long non-coding RNA, 401 nt
Filed under: Homo sapiens (human)
Lineage: Eukaryota; Metazoa; Chordata; Mammalia; Primates; Hominidae
Description: non-protein coding lnc-TMEM65-1:2
Source: RNAcentral
GUGAGAUGACAUUUUUUUCCCUCUACAUGUGUCAGCACUUCCCAGAUGUGAUGAUGGUAUUUGAAAGAGCAUGAUCUGGAAAUCCUGAGCCGUGCUGCCACAAGAAAAUGGAUGCACAGAGGACAAGGCCAGGCAGCGCAGGUCUUCAUUACACUGAGACUUUGCCUGAGUCCCAUGGUGCCCCAGUGCCCUGGCCUGGGCACAUCAGCACUGCCUUCUGUCCAGGCCCCAUGAGUCUCAGAUGGUGGACCCUGGUGACGGAAGGCUGGGUAGAUGCCAUGGACCUUUCCAUAGGUCAUAGCCACAGCUGAGCACUUGGUGUCUUACUACUCAGUGGAGAGGAGAAGUGUGCUGAAGGGUGGUAAGAGAGUGUGUCCAGGGGCCCAGACCAGAGUGGGCCA